This 497-nucleotide ribosomal RNA is filed under the name uncultured bacterium. RNAcentral describes it as "partial 16S ribosomal RNA". It matches the Rfam family "Bacterial small subunit ribosomal RNA", at positions 28 to 507 of the family's 1533-position model. The record is from RNAcentral.
GACGAACGCUGGCGGCGUGCCUAAUACAUGCAAGUUGAGCGCUGAAGGUUGGUACUUGUACCAACUGGAUGAGCAGCGAACGGGUGAGUAACGCGUGGGGAAUCUGCCUUUGAGCGGGGGACAACAUUUGGAAACGAAUGCUAAUACCGCAUAAAAACUUUAAACACAAGUUUUAAGUUUGAAAGAUGCAAUUGCAUCACUCAAAGAUGAUCCCGCGUUGUAUUAGCUAGUUGGUGAGGUAAAGGCUCACCAAGGCGAUGAUACAUAGCCGACCUGAGAGGGUGAUCGGCCGCAUUGGGACUGAGACACGGCCCAAACUCCUACGGGAGGCAGCAGUAGGGAAUCUUCGGCAAUGGACGAAAGUCUGACCGAGCAACGCCGCGUGAGUGAAGAAGGGUUUCGGAUCGUAAAACUCUGUUGGUAGAGAAGAACGUUGGUGAGAGUGGAAAGCUCAUCAAGUGACGGUAACUACCCAGAAAGGGACGGCUAACUACGUG